Rhagoletis zephyria (snowberry fruit fly) is the source of this 3590-nucleotide long non-coding RNA. RefSeq lists it as uncharacterized. The record is from RefSeq and is a predicted model, not a curated record. Lineage: Eukaryota; Metazoa; Arthropoda; Insecta; Diptera; Tephritidae.
CAAAAAAAAAAAAAAUAUUGAUUGCUGCAAAUAAUCGAGCCGAACAAACUCAAUUGAGCAUACAUAUAUUUUAAUAGUAGAUACUUAUGUCCUUCCACUGCAAUGAAACCUGUGAUAUCGACUUCGAAGUCCAGAAUACCUAUUUUAUAGUUUUUUGGUUGGAUUUAAUUGAUAUCUACCAGGUUACUAACUUUUUUCUUUCUUUCCUUCCACUCUGAAGGCAUAUUUUCGUUCCCCACACAGAAAUGUGCCUUUAUUUUAUAAUUAAUUUUGCAAUUUUUUUGUUUUCUCAAUUUGGUUUUUACUUAAUUCCCUUUAAAUAUCUGUAAAAUUGUCUACUUUCUGAAGAUCGCCGAAAGGUGAAAGUUUGUUCGUUUUUUAAAUGUGAGAAUUUUUGUUUUUGUUAAAAUUUGGUUGAAAUUCAAGAUUUCACAAUCAUGAAAAUAUACAUAUGUAUCGAAUAUCCUCCUGGACUUCGAAAUCUAAGAUCUCAUUUAAGUGGAAAUGUACUACAAAAUUCAUUUGGCUUUGUCUCUCUUCCCACUUUUUUUAUGAAAGUUGUAUUUAAUUUGUGUGGGUCACACAUCUUUUAUCUACCUGAAUCUGUUCAGCUAAACAUUUAUGGCCUUAUUCACAAAUAAUAAAGUAGGUUUAAAGAGCUUUAUAUUAUUAUUUUAAACUAAAGUUUUCAUAAAUUUUUCAAUUUGUAAACCGUUUUUAAAGCUACUUUAUUUUUUUUGAAUAAGGUUAUUAGAAUUCACGUAAAUAUUAGACGAAAAUCGGGUAUUGUGGUAUAGGAGGCAAAUGUGGCAAGUAGUAUCUCCCAUUCCUAAUAGUCUCGACUGCCUCUUAAAUUUAGUUUCCCUUUAAACAUAUCGACUGCUUUAUCGAUCACAUGCAUACGACAGAUAGCCGAUAAAGCAGAGGUAAACACUGUUCUGAAUACUAAAAUACUAUUUCAAAGGCCUUUGAGUCGCGUGGUGAGAAAAAUAGAUCGAAAACUAAUAAUCCAAUAAUUUUUGUUUCAAAAAUAUGUACCAAAGAUAAGGGUUUUUAUUCAAAAUUAAUGUUUUAAAAAAGACAGAAAACAAAUACAUAGUAUGUAUAUUUAAUGUUGAAUUAACUUACAGCUGCUAAUAAUAGAGUUGAGUUGAGGGUUUAAGAUCACUGUUUUACAUAAUUAAAAUAAUUUGUCAUAAGUAUAGCACUCGAUUUUAGCCUUUCUCUACCAUAAUUUUAUGUAACUGCAUGUAGUUUGGCCAUGUCUAUUAUUAGUUAAAUUUUACUUCUUAUUGAAUUCUACUUAACUUUUAAGAUACAUUUUUUUAAUAUUAUUUCUGUGUGCACAGUGGUCGUUUCGAAAAUUUAACUAGAAUUUUUCUUUCGGAAGUACGUAGAGUUGCAGUGAGAUUAAUGGGUAAAUCAGAUCAAAACGUCAUCGAAGCGUCACGUAGACAGAAAUUAAUCAGCGGUUUUACAUAUUCUACUUAAACAUUUGAAAAUGUUAUUGAACGAUCAUUUUUCGUCAUCGCUUGUCAAAUUUGUUUGGAUACAAACCGGUUUCGCCGUUGUACCAUCUUCAGUGUCGAAACCGGUUUGUCUCCGAACCAAAUUUGACAAGAGAUGACGGAAAAUCGUUCCACAAUAAAUCGAACUCUUACCCUGUCUGGCACAUCAACGACGAAAAUGAAAAGGUUAUUGGACCUUCUAAAGAAAUUUCGCUCGCGGAAAUGAAAUGCCUCGAAUAUCGAAACUCCGUUUCUUAAUACAUCCGGGAGUCCCGUCAGACGAGACAAUGCAAGCAGCUUCGAAAUGUGGCUCAAACUCAUAAAUUUCGUUGCAUAUAAGUCGUUUCUUGAAAGCAGGGUUCGAAUCAUCACAUCCGAUAUCGUACAACUCGUCACGUAAAAAUACAUUUUUCGGAUUAUGACAUACGUGAUCGUACACUUUGUCCCAUUUAGCUUAUACUGACCAACGUAUCACGUAAUUUUCUUUCGUACCUUGUUCGAUCCGUGAACCGAUGUUACGAUUCCAGUCCAGUUUUUAAUUUACGAAAAGUUGAAGUUGUUAUUUCAUACAGAGAUUUCUUUAUUAUCUCGCAAAAAUUUGUCACGCGGCAACACUCUUUUGGUUUGGCAGCGCUUUGAGUGAAAAUUUCAAAUACAACAAAACACAUUUUGAACAAGUAAUCAACACUAACAAACCCACCCAUAACGCUGCAAUAUCGGUACGGUAAUGUGGCCAAUUUUAUAUCACCUAAUUCGGAGUAAAUUUCUUAGUUUUUUACAUAACCUCAUUGCUCCAAACUACGUAUUUGGCCAAAGUGACUUGUCCUACGAGUAUCAACAUGCCGUUACCCUAAUAUAAAAAGGCCCUAUCUUAGGUUAUCCUUUUUAUUGAGUAAUUUUAAAACCUUAUAAAAACUAAAGUUCUUCAGUUGCGAGUUUCUUCAUUCCACUGGUUUUCUUAAUAAACACAGAAACUCAGUUUUUGAGGUAGAAGUUGAUUUUAAAUUCUAUCAAGUCUUUAUAUAGUAAUCUACCGACUUUUUAACCGAGCUACAAUUUAAAAUAAAAUAAGUAAGAGCCUUUCUGUAUUGGACGCGUUUGGGCAGCACUCGUUGAUCAGUUUAACUUUGAGGUCAGGUGUUGGCUCUCUGCGUGCGUGACAAGCAGCUUGGUGUCUAAGUUUUAUGCCACCGCUUUUCUACUUUUUGGGGCUGCAAAUCCAUUUUGAGGCUAUGUCACCCCACUUUGAGGUUAUGUCAGACGCAAUGGCGUGAAAUGAACCCUACAUUCAUUUUAAGGUAUCCCAAAAAUACAUCGAAAUUAUCACCUACAUACAUGCCUCCGCGUGUCAUAGCAAAGAUUUUUUUGUGUGGCUUUAUAAUUUUAUGGCUUUUCCCAACCGUUCUGAUUUCGCUGCAACUCACUACUCUCUCAGAUCAUCUGAUGACAAAAUGUACAAACUUUGGAGGGACCCAGUGCACUCAACGCGCGUUUAAGAGAAAAUAUGCGUUUUUGGGCAUAGUAAAUUUUAGUUUAUUAGCACGAAUUAAACUUUAUAUUGUUUGAGGAAUAAAAAUUAAAAAGAAAAACGUUUGCGAAAACCUUAGAAAUUGGUUUAGGUGUUUUUCUUUUUCUGUCGAGGAGGUGCACCCAUAGUAUAUUUACGUUAAUAUUAGAAUUAUUCGAUCAGUGCACAUACAUAUGCAUCUACUGCAUACACACAGAAGUAACCGAAAAUACGGCUAACUUUCCCAGGGUUUCUCGGAUCUGCAAUUUCGUUAGUUUUCAUUUAAAUAUAUGCAUGUGUACGUAUUUGCAUUAUGCACUUGCCAUGCCAUGUCCUUUUAAAAAUACAUACAUGCAUACAUACAUACAUACAUACAUCCUCAAUGCUGCAUUGCCGCACAUUUGUUCAUUUUAUAAGCUUUCUCAUUUUCCCUGUCGCUGCACCCUUUGGAAGAGAAUUUCAAUACUAAACAGUUUCGUUAAAGCAUUUAAAUAUUAAUUGAAAGAUUCUGGAAACUGCAAAAUUAAAACGUCAGACCUAGACAUUUGUAAGUAUAUACAGAUGAGAUCAACUAA